UACGUAGGGUCCGAGCGUUGUCCGGAAUACUGGGCGUAAAGCGUGCGCAGGCGGCUUCUUAGGCAUGACGUGAAAGCCCCGGGCUCAACCCGGGGAGGGUCGUCGUGAACCGGGGGGCUUGAGGCCGGUAGAGGUGGGUGGAACUCCUGGUGGAGUGGUGAAAUGCGUAGAGAUCAGGAAGAACACCCGUGGCGAAGGCGGCUCUCGUGGGACGGUACUGGACG
Molecule: ribosomal RNA, 224 nt
Filed under: uncultured bacterium
Lineage: Bacteria
Description: partial 16S ribosomal RNA
Rfam family: Bacterial small subunit ribosomal RNA
Source: RNAcentral